UACUCCCCUGUGUGCCUUUAAGGCGUGCGUAGCGAAGCUAACGCGCUAAGUAGACCGCCUGGGGAGUACGGCCGCAAGGUUAAAACUCAAAUGAAUUGACGGGGGCCCGCACAAGCGGCGGAGCAUGUGGUUUAAUUCGAUGCAACGCGAAGAACCUUACCAGGGUUUGACAUCCUGCGAACCUCUUGGAAACGAGAGGGUGCCUUCGGGAGCGCAGUGACAGGUGGUGCAUGGCU
Molecule: ribosomal RNA, 236 nt
Filed under: uncultured bacterium
Lineage: Bacteria
Description: partial 16S ribosomal RNA
Rfam family: Bacterial small subunit ribosomal RNA
Source: RNAcentral